This 492-nucleotide ribosomal RNA is filed under the name uncultured bacterium. Its description in RNAcentral is "partial 16S ribosomal RNA". It matches the Rfam family "Bacterial small subunit ribosomal RNA", at positions 30 to 507 of the family's 1533-position model. The record is from RNAcentral.
AGUGAACGCUGGCGGUAGGCCUAACACAUGCAAGUCGAACGGAAGCUCAGUAAUAGCUUGCUCUUACGGGUGGCGAGUGGCGGACGGGUGAGGAAUACAUCGGAAUCUACUUUUUCGUGUGGGAUAACGUAGGGAGACCUACGAUAAUACCGCAUACGACCUACGGGUGAAGGCAGUGGAUCUUCGCGCCUUGCGCGAUUGAAUGAGCCGGUGACGGAUUAGCUAGUGGGCGGGGUAAAGGCCCAGCAAGGCGACGGUGGGCCGCUGGUAUGAGAGGAUGGUCAGCCGCACUGGGACGGAGACACGGUCCAGACUCCUACGGGAGGCGGCAGUGGGGAAUAUUGGGCAAGGGGCGGAAGCCUGAGCCAGCCAGGCCGAGUGGGUGAGGAAGGACUUCGGGUUGUAAAGGCCUUUUUUUGGGAAAGAAAAGCCGUACGUCUAUCCCGAGGCGUUCUGGCGGUACCCAAAGAAAAAGCAACGGCUAACUUCGUG